UCGAGCGGUAACAGAUCCAGCUUGCUGGAUGCUGACGAGCGGCGGACGGGUGAGUAAUGCAUAGGAAUCUGCCCGAUAGUGGGGGAUAACCUGGGGAAACCCAGGCUAAUACCGCAUACGUCCUACGGGAGAAAGGGGGCUCCGGCUCCCGCUAUGGGAUGAGCCUAUGUCGGAUUAGCUAGUUGGUGAGGUAACGGCUCACCAAGGCCACGAUCCGUAGCUGGUCUGAGAGGAUGAUCAGCCACAUCGGGACUGAGACACGGCCCGAACUCCUACGGGAGGCAGCAGUGGGGAAUAUUGGACAAUGGGGGCAACCCUGAUCCAGCCAUGCCGCGUGUGUGAAGAAGGCCCUCGGGUUGUAAAGCACUUUCAGCGAGGAAGAACGCCUAGCGGUUAAUACCCGCUAGGAAAGACAUCACUCGCAGAAGAAGCACCGGCUAACUCCGUGCCAGCAGCCGCGGUAAUACGGAGGGUGCAAGCGUUAAUCGGAAUUACUGGGCGUAAAGCGCGCGUAGGUGGCUUGAUAAGCCGGUUGUGAAAGCCCCGGGCUCAACCUGGGAACGGCAUCCGGAACUGUCAAGCUAGAGUGCAGGAGAGGAAGGUAGAAUUCCCGGUGUAGCGGUGAAAUGCGUAGAGAUCGGGAGGAAUACCAGUGGCGAAGGCGGCCUUCUGGACUGACACUGACACUGAGGUGCGAAAGCGUGGGGUAGCAAACAGGAUUAGAUACCCUGGGUAGUCCACGCCGGUAAACGAUGUCGGACCCAGCCCGUUGGGUGCCCUAGCGCACUUU
This 790-nucleotide ribosomal RNA is filed under the name Vreelandella aquamarina. Its description in RNAcentral is "bacterial SSU rRNA". It matches the Rfam family "Bacterial small subunit ribosomal RNA", at positions 62 to 842 of the family's 1533-position model. The record is from RNAcentral. Lineage: Bacteria; Pseudomonadati; Pseudomonadota; Gammaproteobacteria; Oceanospirillales; Halomonadaceae.